Molecule: long non-coding RNA, 1677 nt
Organism: Callithrix jacchus (white-tufted-ear marmoset)
Lineage: Eukaryota; Metazoa; Chordata; Mammalia; Primates; Cebidae
Source: Ensembl
GCCAUCCAUUCAUCUAUCCAUUCAUUUAUCCAGUUAAUCAACAAACAUUGCAUGCCAGGAACUAUUCCAGAUACCUGGAUGUGGAAGAAACAGGACAUAUGUUGCCCUAGAAGAAUUUGCUUUUAAAAACGAGGACAAAGAGACAAAUAAUGAGCAAUCAAACAAAUAAAAAUAAUAACUUCUGAGAGUGAUAAAAGCUUUUAAGACAAUGAAAUAUUUUAAUGUAGAGUAUCUGGGGGUGGGGUGCGGAGGAUGGAUUUUUUGGAGAAUGUUAAGAAAUAACUUUUGAAACAGGCACGUGGAAUAUGGAAACCUGGAAGGGGAGCAUCCCAGGAAGGUGAAAUGGCACCGCUGAUGUCAGAGUUGGGAAGGCUGUCAUGGACCAGAGCAAGCAGGGGAGAAGAUGGAUGGCUCCAGGAUUCAGGGAACAUGCGACCGCAGAUUCACAGAUCACCCGGUGUCAGCCGUGUGUAAAGCAGAAGGACCAGUCCAGCAGUCACUCACUCCUCAGGGAAGAUGGCUUCCUGUGUGUGAACUUCCACUUUGACCCAAGGCUUCCCCAGCUGGCCUGGAGUCCCCACAGACCUGGGAGAUUGAUGCAUGGUUCCAUGUGGCCAUAGAACCUCCUUCCUGGAUGCAGGAUUUCUAGGUGUGAAUCUGGGAGAGCUGUUCCUGGAGCCCCUGGCCCAUGAGGCUCAGAUCCUUGAUGCACAGCCUGCUUCUAAGCCUCAUGGACUUUGACUCACUGUGAUUCCCCCACGGUGACCUCAUCAGCUUAUCUCAGGCUCAAAAACAUGCCAGCACUGCUCUUAACUUUAUAAGUGUUGGCAAGGUGUCAGACACUUGGUUUUCACAAAUGUCUUUGUCCCCUUAAAUUCCAGGGGAGGUGCCAAAAAGUGGCAUCCUAUCCACAGCCCAGGACUUGGAGGAAGUUACUUCUCACACUUGCCAACUCAGGUGUUUGAAGAACUGAGGUAGUGUUCUAAGCUGUUUGUGUGUAUUCUCUCAAUCCUCACAGAAUCCCAAUCAGGUAGGGGCUAUCAUCUCCACAUUUUGUUAAUGUGGAAACUAAGGAACAGAGAGGUUGAGUAAAUUAUCCCAAACUACACAGCUAAUUGAGGGAGUUUGAGGCUGUCCCAAAUGACAAUGAUGGCUCCCAAUUGCUUCAACUUGGUAUUCAAGACUAUGUCUACCAUACAGACUUUUUCUCUUUCUUUCCCUGACAACUUCCUCCUAGUUACUGAGUUAGAAUUUCAAGAGAAAAAUAAAUAAGAUAGAGGAUUUGAUCACCCUUUCGCUGUAUGUCCUUUUAAUUCUCCAACUCAGGGUGGAGGCAUGGGGGGCAGCUCAGGGUCGAGGUGGGGCAGAGGUGUCACAUACAGUGGGAAUUCAGGGGGGAUUCCCAGUUAGCAGCUCCAUUGCUCCCCAAAUGUGCCUAUUUGGCCCAGAAGAGCAGAGAGGAUCCUUGCGGGAGUGUCUCACCUCCUACUUGAAAGCCCUGGCCUGAACUCUCCUGCCUGUGUCCUGUGGACCCAGGCUGAGCCCUGAGACGGAGAUGAGCUGAGCUCCUCUGUGGGCAGUCACAGCCCAUCCCCAUAGGUACAGAGGAGACCCAGUGGGGAGAGCUCUUACCCUGCUGCCACCACCAAACUCGUGAAACUGGGUGCUGAGGGCAGG